GAGAAUCUCCUUUCAACCUGGCCUAUGAGACGAAGGCAAUGAUCCCACUAGAGAUCGGGCUACCAUCGACUAGAGUUGAGCAAUACUGUGAACCGAGCAACUCCGAGUGUCGGAGAGCUGACUUGGACCUCUACCCGAGCUCCGACACGAGGCUCAACUCCGCAUGGCUUCCUACCGACAAAGAGUGGCCCGAUAUUACAACGCUAAAGUUAGGCCAAAAUCUUUCAAACCCGGAGACCUGGU
This 243-nucleotide long non-coding RNA is filed under the name Elaeis guineensis (African oil palm). RNAcentral's name for it is "long non-coding RNA (EGUI_LNC018927)". The record is from RNAcentral. Lineage: Eukaryota; Viridiplantae; Streptophyta; Magnoliopsida; Arecales; Arecaceae.